This 266-nucleotide ribosomal RNA is filed under the name uncultured Fusobacterium sp. Its description in RNAcentral is "partial 16S ribosomal RNA". It matches the Rfam family "Bacterial small subunit ribosomal RNA", at positions 72 to 339 of the family's 1533-position model. Lineage: Bacteria; Fusobacteriati; Fusobacteriota; Fusobacteriia; Fusobacteriales; Fusobacteriaceae. The record is from RNAcentral.
UACUUGAUCCUUCGGGUGAUGGUGGCGGACGGGUGAGUAACGCGUAAAGAACUUGCCCUGCAGUCUGGGACAACAUUUGGAAACGAAUGCUAAUACCGGAUAUUAUGUGAGUUUCGCAUGAAAUUCAUAUGAAAGCUAUAUGCGCUGCAGGAGAGCUUUGCGUCCUAUUAGCUAGUUGGUGAGGUAACGGCUCACCAAGGCGAUGAUAGGUAGCCGGCCUGAGAGGGUGAACGGCCACAAGGGGACUGAGACACGGCCCUUACUCC